Molecule: RNA transcript, 1080 nt
Organism: Archocentrus centrarchus (flier cichlid)
Lineage: Eukaryota; Metazoa; Chordata; Actinopteri; Cichliformes; Cichlidae
Exons: 5
Source: RefSeq, a predicted model, not a curated record
UGCAGGACUGAUACUGAGGCUGAAACUGUAUUUAGCUUGAUAGAAAUUGUGAUUCACGGGGUGAAAAACAGGAAAUAUGGACAAGAUGAGAAAUGAGUUAACAAACUGUUUGCAACAUGUUCCUCCUGGCAGCGCUGCUUCCAUUGGGAUAUUCAUCCUGAUAAUUUUCAUCUCUUUUUACUACAGUUACCUGACGUGCAGCUGCGAUGGCCGAACUUUUCGAUGCAAUGAAUUCAUGGCUGUCCCAUUUUUCAUCGUGUUCUUCCUCAUACUCCUGAUAGACCGGACGUUUCGGAGAACAGCGAAACACGCUGCGAUCCUUUCAGGUGUUGUAGUCAAGCGCGUCAUCAGAGCGAUUUUAUUUGGUCUGCUGUGGGUUGUGGCUGUGCUAAUUCAUGGAGACUGGUACUUCUGCUGUAAGAUUGACCAAAAACACAUCACGCUGCCCUGCAAAACUAAUCUCACAACUGAAGAAGCAGCCACAAAAGCUGAAACCAUAAACACAUCGAAGAUUACUGGUUACACUUUGUUGCUGGGUAUAAUUGUAGCAGCUUUGUUAACAUCAUGGAGUGGAUGGAGACAAGUCUGUGAGAAAAAGCUGGGCUUGUACAGCAGGAAAACUCUGUAUUACCAAGUGGUUUUGGAAGAGGAGGAAAAAAUUCUGGAGGAGCUUUUGAGGAGAGCCGUAAAUGAGAACUUGACCAAAGAAAUUAUGAACAACAUAAAUAGGAAAGACUGGGACGGCUGUUUAUAUGCUGCAGAAGAGAUGAUUAACGAGGCCAAACAACAGAAACCAAGAGCAACAAAGGAGUACAUCAGGUGGACCAGCGUGGAGAGCGCCACAGGAGGGGAACAGGCUGAACAAAGAGCAGCACAUCAGCAGGCACAAAGUCUUGAACUUCAGUCAGUGUGAGAAGGAGUCCAGGAAUGACCGACCCUGUCUGGGCCUCCAGCUUUUUUCAGAGAUCAAAGACGCUGCACCGUUAUUCAGCAAACCGCCUGAGAAGUACAUCAAAUGAUGCAGCGACAGAAGCAAAGCAAGGAAAAUUGUCCCCAUCCAUCCAUCCAUCCAUCCAUCCA